CAUGCCUUACACAUGCAAGUCGAACGGCAGCGGGGGAGAAGCUUGCUUUUCCUGCCGGCGAGUGGCGAACGGGUGAGUAAUAUAUCGGAACGUGCCCAGUCGUGGGGGAUAACUGCUCGAAAGAGCAGCUAAUACCGCAUACGACCUGAGGGUGAAAGCGGGGGAUCGCAAGACCUCGCGCGACUGGAGCGGCCGAUAUCAGAUUAGGUAGUUGGUGGGGUAAAGGCCUACCAAGCCUACGAUCUGUAGCUGGUCUGAGAGGACGACCAGCCACACUGGGACUGAGACACGGCCCAGACUCCUACGGGAGGCAGCAGUGGGGAAUUUUGGACAAUGGACGCAAGUCUGAUCCAGCCAUGCCGCGUGCGGGAAGAAGGCCUUCGGGUUGUAAACCGCUUUUGUCAGGGAAGAAAAGGUUCUGGUUAAUACCUGGGACUCAUGACGGUACCUGAAGAAUAAGCACCGGCUAACUACGUGCCAGCAGCCGCCGUAA
RNAcentral lists this ribosomal RNA (493 nucleotides) under uncultured bacterium. Its description in RNAcentral is "partial 16S ribosomal RNA". It matches the Rfam family "Bacterial small subunit ribosomal RNA", at positions 43 to 523 of the family's 1533-position model. The record is from RNAcentral.